Molecule: ribosomal RNA, 438 nt
Filed under: uncultured bacterium
Lineage: Bacteria
Description: bacterial SSU rRNA
Rfam family: Bacterial small subunit ribosomal RNA
Source: RNAcentral
UGAGGAAUAUUGGUCAAUGGGCGGGAGCCUGAACCAGCCAAGCCGCGUGAGGGAUGAAGGCCCUAUGGGUCGUAAACCUCAUUUCGUCAGGGUAACAAAAGGCGAAGUAUGUAUACUUGUCUGAGUGUACCUGAAGAAAAAGCAUCGGCUAACUCCGUGCCAGCAGCCGCGGUAAUACGGAGGAUGCGAGCGUUAUCCGGAUUUAUUGGGUUUAAAGGGUGCGUAGGCGGCGGUGCAAGUCAGCGGUAAAAGCCCGGGGCUCAACCCCGGCGAGCCGUUGAAACUGCAGUGCUAGAGAAGGCGAGAGGUACGCGGAAUGCGCAGUGUAGCGGUGAAAUGCUUAGAUAUUGCGCAGAACUCCGAUUGCGAAGGCAGCGUAUCUGGCGCCUGACUGACGCUGAGGCACGAAAGCGUGGGGAUCGAACAGGAUUAGAUACC